This 253-nucleotide ribosomal RNA is filed under the name uncultured bacterium. RNAcentral describes it as "partial 16S ribosomal RNA". It matches the Rfam family "Bacterial small subunit ribosomal RNA", at positions 524 to 776 of the family's 1533-position model. The record is from RNAcentral.
UACAGAGGUCUCAAGCGUUGUUCGGAUUCAUUGAGCGUAAAGGGUGCGUAGGUGGCGCGGUAAGUCGGGUGUGAAAUUUCGGAGCUUAACUCCGAAACUGCAUUCGAUACUGCCGUGCUUGAGGACUGGAGAGGAGACUGGAAUUUACGGUGUAGCAGUGAAAUGCGUAGAGAUCGUAAGGAAGACCAGUGGCGAAGGCGGGUCUCUGGACAGUUCCUGACACUGAGGCACGAAGGCCAGGGGAGCAAACGGG